AAGUGACUGCAGGUUAAAUCUCAUUUUCAAGAUGCCUAUGGUAGAGUAGAAAAUAUGGACAAGUUUAGGUUCAUAUUUUGGAACAGAAUAAGGAGAGACACAUGAAACUAUUUAUACAGACUGUGUGAAGUAUCUGCCAUGUAAAAGCCAUUAAGUCCAUGUGCUGUCUUCUGAGGUUUAUUUCACACCUUUUGACUUCCAGCCUCCACAUGGGACUUGGACUAUCCAUCUAUUUCUUCAGUGUGGGCCUGUGUAUUAUUGAUCCAUCUGGCCUUGGGAUCAGCCCUUAUUGUCUCAUUGACAGAUACAUAAAACAACAGACUUAAAAACAGAGAAGUAAGUAGUUAUAAAUAAGUGGUACUUGGUUAUGACUAAGUUUUUGGGCACUUUGUGACACAGUGGAGGCAAAUUGCUCUAUUGUUGACAAUCUCUGCCAUCAGAAUUCACGUGCUUUGCACUGCUGUUGUUGGGAGCUUCUCAGCAUCGAGCUGUGACUCACAGUGACAGAGGUACCAGGCAGAUGUUCUCCUCCAAACAUGGGCUGCACGUGAGGCACAGGAAUGUGCUUCAGGCAUUCUGGCACCAGUUCCUGACGCCACUGCAGAUUCCUGCUGCCUCGUUUGUCUUUCUGUGCCUCUUUGCUCCAUAUUGGAUGGGGAUGUGACUUCCUGACUCACAAAUGUGUUGUGUUUGUGAGAGGCUCAAACCCUACUGUUCAGCAAUCAGCUCUGUAGCUGGAGUCAAGCAGAUGCCUCCCAUAGGUAUCCUGGAGCAGUAGGGCAUAUUUGGGACACAUUUAGCCUCAAAUGGAAGCAUCAUUUAGGUACAUGUACUGGGAGGAGGAUUUUGGGUGUUUGUGAUGUGUGUUGUUGACAAUAAUCUUGGUAUUUCACGUUGACUUUGGAAGGCUGUUUUAGUAAAUAGAUAAAAGACAUUUUUUCCUUGAUCCUUCCACUGACCCCCUGCAUAUUUCCCUGUAAUCCAAAGCCUCUGCACAUUACCCACACAGCACAAUCCUCAUUCCAAGAGACCAUAUGCUUCAUUGCCUUAAGCAGUUCUGCUCUUCCCUGCCUGCUUCUUGGAGCAGUUGUACAUGUAUAUAAUAAUAACUAAAAUGACUGAGCAGAAACACCAUAAAAGAAAUGGCUGUAGCUUGGGAGUGACCUCAAAAAGGAGGGACACUGUGAUGUGCUGGUGAGGCACAGAACACAUCAAGAGCUGAGUUCCACAGCCAUUGACAUGUCGUGGGCAGCUGAGGAAACCCAGCCUUUCACAUCUCUUGAGAGCAAGGACCGAGCUGCUGUGUUGCCAUGUGAAAAAUGUUAU
RNAcentral lists this long non-coding RNA (1326 nucleotides) under Parus major (Great Tit). RNAcentral describes it as "lncRNA (ENSPMJG00000014204.1)". Lineage: Eukaryota; Metazoa; Chordata; Aves; Passeriformes; Paridae. The record is from RNAcentral.